AGAUUGCUCCUUGUGGAGUUUCUGUGAGCCUACAACACUGUGGACCCAGUAAAUGGGACUGGCUGCUGCAACCUGCUGGUGGCACUUGAGACAAGCUGUGGGGCAGUGGGAGCCCACUGUGGGGAGUGGGAAAUAGCUCUGGGCUCCCCAUGAAGUCAAUACCUGGCAGCAGCUUCACUGCAGGCACAGCACAACCAAGUCCAGCUCCUGCACUUCCCAACUGCAUCAUCAUAAGCUUCAGCACUGGACCAAUCCUGAAGGGGAAAAUGAAGAGGGCUGGCUGGUUUACAGAUGGAUGAACUCAUUGAGAACCCUAGCACCUGAGCCCUGAGUUCAAUUUAAUAUUGUAGCCUACAGCACUUUGCAGCUACUGCAUGCAACCUCAUGACAAGAAUUACUGAAGGAAGGUCUCUGCAAUGAAGGAGCCAAACGUCUUCUGUUCCUUGCAGUAGAAAUGGCAAACAUCCAGGAGCAGAGAUGGUCGGGGUCUCCAGCCCUGGCUGGCUGUUACAGUGAGGAAUCAAAAUCUACCAGCAGGCAACAGGCAGGCACUCUCCUCAGGAAGUAACUCAGCACUUGGAUGCUUCUUCUGAAGAUUGUGUGCCUGAACUUCCCCUUUCAAGGGCUGCUUAUCUUAUCAGCUGGGUUAAAGCGCAUUCACCAUGAGCAUCCAGGGAAAGAAGUUUUCUGCUGACCUGUGAUCAAGGGAAAUGAAAGAUGAGAGAAGAUAAAUCAAAUCUAUGUCUUGUCUAUCCAACUCUUGCUCCAUAUGCAAUGAUAAACUUUCAGGCCAAAUAAAGGAAAAUCUGAAGCAAGCCUAAGGAAGACCAAGGAAGUGCCUGAGGAAGAUCUCCCUUUGGCAACAGGUCUCAUGGUCUGAGAAAAAGACAGCAGACAAAAAUGCAUUUUUUUGGUAACUGCGAAGAAAGGCAGAGUGUUUUCGAACAGCACAGCAUGAGUUAACCCUCUUAUCACCUGCUGCCAAAUGCGCUCAUGCAUCUUUGGUACAAUGCCAAGCAGAUGCAUUCAGAUUCUUUGUAAGACUGAGGUACCAAACCUGUACUUCACACUGUGAGUGAGCAACAACACAUUGUUGCAUGGAGCAAUAACACAUUACUGCAGGCGGGAUUUGGUGAGAAUCUGUGUAAGAUUGCUUUUGCAGAGGCCACUUGCACAAAAGCCUCUGCUGCAGCAACAUUGUCUUCCAUCUUGAUCUUCUAGAAAUAAAAAAAAAGAAAGGUUUACAAAAUUACUGUGUCUUGCCUGUGAAAGAUGAAUCAUAGUGCUUUUCAAUAGAGCUGCAGGUUGUCAGGGGACCCUCGUCAAGGUUAUUGUUUUGAGCACCUGCAAAAAACACAUUUUUUUAAGGCUUUCUACCACUUAGAAAAGAAAUGAGAAAGGAGAUGAGAACAGACAGAUGAAAACUCGACUUAGCUGACUGCAAGCUUCUGUCACCCGGGGAAAUGUGAAGCAAAUUACACAGCACAAACCAAACAAUAUGAAAUGGG
RNAcentral lists this long non-coding RNA (1508 nucleotides) under Gallus gallus (chicken). RNAcentral's name for it is "lncRNA (ENSGALG00010019730.1)". The record is from RNAcentral. Lineage: Eukaryota; Metazoa; Chordata; Aves; Galliformes; Phasianidae.